GACGAACGCUGGCGGCGUGCCUAAUACAUGCAAGUAGAACGCUGAAGCUUGGUGCUUGCACCGAGCGGAUGAGUUGCGAACGGGUGAGUAACGCGUAGGUAACCUGCCUGGUAGCGGGGGAUAACUAUUGGAAACGAUAGCUAAUACCGCAUAAGAGUAGAUGUUGCAUGACAUUUGCUUAAAAGGUGCAAUUGCAUCACUACCAGAUGGACCUGCGUUGUAUUAGCUAGUUGGUGAGGUAACGGCUCACCAAGGCAACGAUACAUAGCCGACCUGAGAGGGUGGUCGGCCACACUGGGACCUGGACACGGCCCAGACUCCCACGGGAGGCAGCCGUAGGGAAUCUUCGGCAAUGGGCGGAAGUCUGACCGAGCAACGCCGCGUGAGUGAAGAAGGUUUUCGGAUCGUAAAGCUCUGUUGUAAGAGAAGAACGAGUGUGAGAGUGGAAAGUUCACACUGUGACGGUAUCUUACCAGAAAGGGACGGCUAACUACGUG
RNAcentral lists this ribosomal RNA (497 nucleotides) under uncultured bacterium. RNAcentral describes it as "partial 16S ribosomal RNA". It matches the Rfam family "Bacterial small subunit ribosomal RNA", at positions 28 to 507 of the family's 1533-position model. The record is from RNAcentral.